AUUAUUUUUACAUUUUGUAUUUUAUAAGCUAGUUUUAUUUUCAUCUAUUCUAAAGUACUCAUGUUGUUACAUCAAGAUUUUGUUGAAAAACUUUAUACUAAAAAUAAAUGGAAUAUAUAUUUAAGUUUAACAUAAUGUACAUGAGAAAACAAAAGUUUACAUUCUCCUAUAUAUCUUUCAAAAUACGGUACACUCAAUUUGGAGAGAGAGGAAUGCAAGAAGACACGGUGAACAACCAUAACCACCAGAUCAAGAUGAUCGACAAAAAUGUGAGAAAUCGUUUAAGUACAAUUCGGGGUAUAGGGGAAUCCAUAAGUAUGAAGAGGAUCUUCAAGUUUGGUUUGCUACAAGACGAGCUUAAGUUCCAAUUGUGUUGUUAGAAUUUGUUUUUGAAAUCGUAUUCAUUAAGCUGUAAAACAUUUUUUUCUU
RNAcentral lists this small RNA (429 nucleotides) under Arabidopsis thaliana (thale cress). RNAcentral describes it as "ATSL192610". The record is from RNAcentral. Lineage: Eukaryota; Viridiplantae; Streptophyta; Magnoliopsida; Brassicales; Brassicaceae.